AGCGAACGCUGGCGGCAGGCUUAACACAUGCAAGUCGAGCGGGCAUCCUUGUGGUGUCCGCGGCAGACGGGUGAGUAACGCGUGGGAACGUGCCCUUCGGUUCGGAAUAACUCAGGGAAACUUGAGCUAAUACCGGAUACGUGCGAGAGCAGAAAGGUUUAUCUGCCGAAGGAUCGGCCCGCGUCUGAUUAGCUAGUUGGUGAGGUUAUGGCUCACCAAGGCGACGAUCAGUAGCUGGUCUGAGAGGAUGAUCAGCCACACUGGGCAUGAGACACGGCCCAGAAUCCUACGGGAGGCAGCAGUGGGGAAUAUUGGACAAUGGGGGCAACCCUGAUACAGCCAUGCCGCGGGAGUGAUGACGGCCUUAGGGUUGUAAAGCUCUUUUCUCCGGGACGAUAAUGACGGUACCGGAGGAAUAAGCCCCGGCUAACUUCGUG
This 437-nucleotide ribosomal RNA is filed under the name uncultured bacterium. Its description in RNAcentral is "partial 16S ribosomal RNA". It matches the Rfam family "Bacterial small subunit ribosomal RNA", at positions 29 to 507 of the family's 1533-position model. The record is from RNAcentral.